AUUGAACGCUGGCGGCAGGCUUAACACAUGCAAGUCGAGCGGGGUGAUGGUGCUUGCACUAUCACUUAGCGGCGGACGGGUGAGUAAUGCUUAGGAAUCUGCCUAUUAGUGGGGGACAACAUCUCGAAAGGGAUGCUAAUACCGCAUACGUCCUACGGGAGAAAGCAGGGGAUCACUUGUGACCUUGCGCUAAUAGAUGAGCCUAAGUCGGAUUAGCUAGUUGGUGGGGUAAAGGCCUACCAAGGCGACGAUCUGUAGCGGGUCUGAGAGGAUGAUCCGCCACACUGGGACUGAGACACGGCCCAGACUCCUACGGGAGGCAGCAGUGGGGAAUAUUGGACAUUGGGGGGAACCCUGAUCCAGCCAUGCCGCGUGUGUGAAGAAGGCCUUAUGGUUGUAAAGCACUUUAAGCGAGGAGGAGGCUCUUUUGGUUAAUACCCAAGAAGAGUGGACGUUACUCGCAGAAUAAGCACCGGCCAACUCUGUGCCAGCCGCCGCAGUAA
This 503-nucleotide ribosomal RNA is filed under the name uncultured bacterium. RNAcentral's name for it is "partial 16S ribosomal RNA". It matches the Rfam family "Bacterial small subunit ribosomal RNA", at positions 30 to 523 of the family's 1533-position model. The record is from RNAcentral.